UUAAGCGACUAAGCGUACACGGUGGAUGCCCUGGCAGUCAGAGGCGAUGAAGGACGUGCUAAUCUGCGAUAAGCGUCGGUAAGGUGAUAUGAACCGUUAUAACCGGCGAUUUCCGAAUGGGGAAACCCAGUGUGAUUCGUCACACUAUCAUUAACUGAAUCCAUAGGUUAAUGAGGCGAACCGGGGGAACUGAAACAUCUAAGUACCCCGAGGAAAAGAAAUCAACCGAGAUUCCCCCAGUAGCGGCGAGCGAACGGGGAGGAGCCCAGAGCCUGAAUCAGUGUGUGUGUUAGUGGAAGCGUCUGGAAAGGCGCGCGAUACAGGGUGACAGCCCCGUACACAAAAAUGCACAUACUGUGAGCUCGAUGAGUAGGGCGGGACACGUGGUAUCCUGUCUGAAUAUGGGGGGACCAUCCUCCAAGGCUAAAUACUCCUGACUGACCGAUAGUGAACCAGUACCGUGAGGGAAAGGCGAAAAGAACCCCGGCGAGGGGAGUGAAAAAGAACCUGAAACCGUGUACGUACAAGCAGUGGGAGCACAGAGCAAUCUGUGUGACUGCGUACCUUUUGUAUAAUGGGUCAGCGACUUAUAUUCUGUAGCAAGGUUAACCGAAUAGGGGAGCCGAAGGGAAACCGAGUCUUAACCGGGCGUUAAGUUGCAGGGUAUAGACCCGAAACCCGGUGAUCUAGCCAUGGGCAGGUUGAAGGUUGGGUAACACUAACUGGAGGACCGAACCGACUAAUGUUGAAAAAUUAGCGGAUGACUUGUGGCUGGGGGUGAAAGGCCAAUCAAACCGGGAGAUAGCUGGUUCUCCCCGAAAGCUAUUUAGGUAGCGCCUCGUGAAUUCAUCUCCGGGGGUAGAGCACUGUUUCGGCAAGGGGGUCAUCCCGACUUACCAACCCGAUGCAAACUGCGAAUACCGGAGAAUGUUAUCACGGGAGACACACGGCGGGUGCUAACGUCCGUCGUGAAGAGGGAAACAACCCAGACCGCCAGCUAAGGUCCCAAAGUCAUGGUUAAGUGGGAAACGAUGUGGGAAGGCCCAGACAGCCAGGAUGUUGGCUUAGAAGCAGCCAUCAUUUAAAGAAAGCGUAAUAGCUCACUGGUCGAGUCGGCCUGCGCGGAAGAUGUAACGGGGCUAAACCAUGCACCGAAGCUGCGGCAGCGACACUGUGUGUUGUUGGGUAGGGGAGCGUUCUGUAAGCCUGUGAAGGUGUGCUGUGAGGCAUGCUGGAGGUAUCAGAAGUGCGAAUGCUGACAUAAGUAACGAUAAAGCGGGUGAAAAGCCCGCUCGCCGGAAGACCAAGGGUUCCUGUCCAACGUUAAUCGGGGCAGGGUGAGUCGACCCCUAAGGCGAGGCCGAAAGGCGUAGUCGAUGGGAAACAGGUUAAUAUUCCUGUACUUGGUGUUACUGCGAAGGGGGGACGGAGAAGGCUAUGUUGGCCGGGCGACGGUUGUCCCGGUUUAAGCGUGUAGGCUGGUUUUCCAGGCAAAUCCGGAAAAUCAAGGCUGAGGCGUGAUGACGAGGCACUACGGUGCUGAAGCAACAAAUGCCCUGCUUCCAGGAAAAGCCUCUAAGCAUCAGGUAACAUCAAAUCGUACCCCAAACCGACACAGGUGGUCAGGUAGAGAAUACCAAGGCGCUUGAGAGAACUCGGGUGAAGGAACUAGGCAAAAUGGUGCCGUAACUUCGGGAGAAGGCACGCUGAUAUGUAGGUGAAGUCCCUCGCGGAUGGAGCUGAAAUCAGUCGAAGAUACCAGCUGGCUGCAACUGUUUAUUAAAAACACAGCACUGUGCAAACACGAAAGUGGACGUAUACGGUGUGACGCCUGCCCGGUGCCGGAAGGUUAAUUGAUGGGGUCAGCGCAAGCGAAGCUCUUGAUCGAAGCCCCGGUAAACGGCGGCCGUAACUAUAACGGUCCAAGGUAGCGAAAUUCCUUGUCGGGUAAGUUCCGACCUGCAGAAUGGCGUAAUGAUGGCCAGGCUGUCUCCACCCGAGACUCAGUGAAAUUGAACUCGCUGUGAAGAUGCAGUGUACCCGCGGCAAGACGGAAAGACCCCGUGAACCUUUACUAUAGCUUGACACUGAACAUUGAGCCUUGAUGUGUAGGAUAGGUGGGAGGCUUUGAAGUGUGGACGCCAGUCUGCAUGGAGCCGACCUUGAAAUACCACCCUUUAAUGUUUGAUGUUCUAACGUGGACCCGUGAUCCGGGUUGCGGACAGUGUCUGGUGGGUAGUUUGACUGGGGCGGUCUCCUCCUAAAGAGUAACGGAGGAGCACGAAGGUUGGCUAAUCCUGGUCGGACAUCAGGAGGUUAGUGCAAUGGCAUAAGCCAGCUUGACUGCGAGCGUGACGGCGCGAGCAGGUGCGAAAGCAGGUCAUAGUGAUCCGGUGGUUCUGAAUGGAAGGGCCAUCGCUCAACGGAUAAAAGGUACUCCGGGGAUAACAGGCUGAUACCGCCCAAGAGUUCAUAUCGACGGCGGUGUUUGGCACCUCGAUGUCGGCUCAUCACAUCCUGGGGCUGAAGUAGGUCCCAAGGGUAUGGCUGUUCGCCAUUUAAAGUGGUACGCGAGCUGGGUUUAGAACGUCGUGAGACAGUUCGGUCCCUAUCUGCCGUGGGCGCUGGAGAACUGAGGGGGGCUGCUCCUAGUACGAGAGGACCGGAGUGGACGCAUCACUGGUGUUCGGGUUGUCAUGCCAAUGGCACUGCCCGGUAGCUAAAUGCGGAAGAGAUAAGUGCUGAAAGCAUCUAAGCACGAAACUUGCCCCGAGAUGAGUUCUCCCUGACCCUUUAAGGGUCCUGAAGGAACGUUGAAGACGACGACGUUGAUAGGCCGGGUGUGUAAGCGCAGCGAUGCGUU
Molecule: ribosomal RNA, 2863 nt
Filed under: Escherichia coli 09BKT076207
Lineage: Bacteria; Pseudomonadati; Pseudomonadota; Gammaproteobacteria; Enterobacterales; Enterobacteriaceae
Description: bacterial LSU rRNA
Rfam family: Bacterial large subunit ribosomal RNA
Source: RNAcentral